Molecule: long non-coding RNA, 371 nt
Filed under: Lotus japonicus
Lineage: Eukaryota; Viridiplantae; Streptophyta; Magnoliopsida; Fabales; Fabaceae
Description: long non-coding RNA (LJAP_LNC001092)
Source: RNAcentral
GACGUUCCUAGCAUCCUCAGAGAGGGCCAAAGCAAUAGGGAGAGGGGGAUUGAAGGUCCAGCCUUGGAGCAGGGAAUUUUGCAAACAUGCCUUUGCCGUGAGAUGUGCUACCUUGUUAUUGUUCCUUCUCGUCCAGACAAAGCUACAAGUAAGGAAGGUAAACUGCAGCUUCUUAAUGUCUUCAAGGAUAGCCUUGGAUUCACCUAUUUGUUGCCCACCAUUGCAGGCAUCUAUUAGCUUCAGACAAUCAGAUUCCAGAAUAAUUCUAUUCCAUCCCAAGUUAUGAGCUAUGACAAUCCCCUCCCUUAAAGGAAGUGCCUCAAUAAUGAGAGGAGAGGGACUCCUGAGCUUACGACAGUCUCCAGCCACCA